Molecule: ribosomal RNA, 885 nt
Filed under: uncultured Methylococcaceae bacterium
Lineage: Bacteria; Pseudomonadati; Pseudomonadota; Gammaproteobacteria; Methylococcales; Methylococcaceae
Description: bacterial SSU rRNA
Rfam family: Bacterial small subunit ribosomal RNA
Source: RNAcentral
GGCGGACGGGUGAGUAACGCGUAGGAAUCUGCCCCAUAGUGGGGGACAACGUGUGGAAACGCACGCUAAUACCGCAUACGCCCCAAGGGGGAAAGCGGGGGACCUCCGGGCCCCGCGCUAUGGGAUGAGCCUGCGUAGGAUUAGCUAGUUGGCGGGGUAAGGGCCCACCAAGGCGACGAUCCUUAGCUGGUCUGAGAGGACGAUCAGCCACACUGGGACUGAGACACGGCCCAGACUCCUACGGGAGGCAGCAGUGGGGAAUAUUGGACAAUGGGCGCAAGCCUGAUCCAGCAAUACCGCGUGUGUGAAGAAGGCCUUAGGGUUGUAAAGCACUUUCAAUGGGGAGGAAAACCUGCCGGCCAAUACCCGGCAGCUUGACAUUACCCAUAGAAGAAGCACCGGCUAACUCCGUGCCAGCAGCCGCGGUAAUACGGAGGGUGCGAGCGUUAAUCGGAAUUACUGGGCGUAAAGCGUGCGUAGGCGGCCCGUUAAGUCAGAUGUGAAAGCCCCGGGCUCAACCUGGGAACGGCAUUUGAAACUGGCGGGCUAGAGUUUGGUAGAGGGGAGUGGAAUUUCAGGUGUAGCGGUGAAAUGCGUAGAUAUCUGAAGGAACACCAGUGGCGAAGGCGACUCCCUGGACCAGAACUGACGCUGAGGUACGAAAGCGUGGGUAGCAAACAGGAUUAGAUACCCUGGUAGUCCACGCCGUAAACGAUGUCGACUAGCCGUUGGCCCUAUAUACAGGGUUAGUGGCGCAGCUAACGCAUUAAGUCGCCCGCCUGGGGAGUACGGCCGCAAGGUUAAAACUCAAAUGAAUUGACGGGGGCCCGCACAAGCGGUGGAGCCUGUGGUUUAAUUCGAUGCAACGCGAAGAACCUUACCUAC